GGUUGAUCCUGCCAGCAGUCAUAUGCUUGUCUAAAAGAUUAAGCCAUGCAUGUCUAAGUAUAAGUUCAUUGUACGACGAAACUGCGAAUGGCUCAUUAUAUCAGUUACAAUCUACUUGAUCGUAUUCACUACUGGAUAACUGUAGUAAUUCUAGAGCUAAUACAUGCAAAAAGUUUGGAUCAGAGGGCAACCUUUGUGAAGAACGUGUUUAUUAGAUACAGACCAAUACAGGGUAUUCAAACUCAGGCGUCAAAACCUGGGGCUCUGUUUUUAUGAUGAUUCAUAGUAAUGUU
Molecule: ribosomal RNA, 293 nt
Filed under: uncultured eukaryote
Lineage: Eukaryota
Description: partial 18S ribosomal RNA
Rfam family: Eukaryotic small subunit ribosomal RNA
Source: RNAcentral